UUCGAUCCCGUCAUCCUCCACCAUUACCUUUUGGUUGCCAAACGCAAGCAUCGACGCUGUGUCGAUGGUGUUUGCGUUUGGCCUAGCCAAGACGAGCGUAAAAGUUCGGCUGUUCUUUAACAAUAUGGAAUGUAGUAAAGGUGUCGCGGUGCGUUGAUGAGACGCACAAUCAAAACGCGACACUGGGUUGUGAUUGUAUCAACCAGUAUUACCAGAGCAAUCGAAAGAUUGUC
Molecule: unclassified non-coding RNA, 233 nt
Filed under: Ralstonia sp. 1-6
Lineage: Bacteria; Pseudomonadati; Pseudomonadota; Betaproteobacteria; Burkholderiales; Burkholderiaceae
Description: 16S-23S ribosomal RNA intergenic spacer
Source: RNAcentral